This 468-nucleotide ribosomal RNA is filed under the name uncultured bacterium. RNAcentral's name for it is "partial 16S ribosomal RNA". It matches the Rfam family "Bacterial small subunit ribosomal RNA", at positions 28 to 507 of the family's 1533-position model. The record is from RNAcentral.
GACGAACGCUGGCGGCGUGCUUAACACAUGCAAGUCGAACGGAAAGGCCCUGCUUUUGUGGGGUGCUCGAGUGGCGAACGGGUGAGUAACACGUGAGUAACCUGCCCUUGACUUUGGGAUAACUUCAGGAAACUGGGGCUAAUACCGUAUAGGAGCUCCUGCUGCAUGGUGGGGGUUGGAAAGUUUCGGCGGGUGGGGAUGGACUCGCGGCUUAUCAGCUUGUUGGUGGGGUAGUGGCUUACCAAGGCUUUGACGGGUAGCCGGCCUGAGAGGGUGACCGGCCACAUUGGGACUGAGAUACGGCCCAGACUCCUACGGGAGGCAGCAGUGGGGAAUAUUGCACAAUGGGCGGAAGCCUGAUGCAGCAACGCCGCGUGCGGGAUGACGGCCUUCGGGUUGUAAACCGCUUUCGCCUGUGACGAAGCGUGAGUGACGGUAAUGGGUAAAGAAGCACCGGCUAACUACGUG